AUUGAACGCUGGCGGCAUGCUUUACACAUGCAAGUCGAACGGUAACAGGCCUUCGGGUGCUGACGAGUGGCGAACGGGUGCGUAAUGCAUCGGAGCGUGCCCAGAGGUGGGGGAUAACGCAGCGAAAGCUGUGCUAAUACCGCAUGUGAUCUGAGGAUGAAAGCGGGGGACCAAGCAGCAAUGUUUGGCCUCGCGCCUCUGGAGCGGCCGAUGUCAGAUUAGGUAGUUGGUGGGGUAAAGGCCUACCAAGCCGACGAUCUGUAGCUGGUCUGAGAGGACGACCAGCCACACUGGGACUGAGACACGGCCCAGACUCCUACGGGAGGCAGCAGUGGGGAAUUUUGGACAAUGGGCGCAAGCCUGAUCCAGCAAUGCCGCGUGCGGGAAGAAGGCCUUCGGGUUGUAAACCGCUUUUGUACGGAACGAAAAGGCUCUGGCUAAUACCUGGGGCUGAUGACGGUACCGUAAGAAUAAGCACCGGCUAACUACGUG
This 492-nucleotide ribosomal RNA is filed under the name uncultured bacterium. RNAcentral describes it as "partial 16S ribosomal RNA". It matches the Rfam family "Bacterial small subunit ribosomal RNA", at positions 30 to 507 of the family's 1533-position model. The record is from RNAcentral.